AAUUUUUGAAGAAGUAAUCUGCUGAACUUGGAUGUGAAUUGUGAGAGACCUAAAGUAAAAUUUGCUGCAAAAGAAGGUCUAGCUAGUUAAAUUGUUGAUGGUCCAAGUGCCAAGUGUUCAAAUAAAAGUUAGUAAUUCACUCUAAGACAUUCUUUAUUGUUAGGAAAAAUUUACAUGAGGCCUUCUAAGUAUGAACUGAGAUCAGUAAGAACUGCGUCAUGCAGUGGAAUUCAAAUGAGCUUCACUCAACAGAAGAGAUUGAAGAGUGAGUUGAAAAUAGUACUUUAAAGAGUGCAUUGGCAGCAUUUCUCAAGUUUAUGCUGAUGGAGAUUAAUGAAUUUCACCAAUGAGAUAUCUAAUUGAAAGAAAGCCUUAGAACUCUCCACUUAAAAAGAUAUGUUGUUAGAGUUUGUGGGAUUUUCUCCUCAUCCACCUAAAAUGUUUUAGUUAUUUGCAAUACAACAGAGAAAAUAUACAAUUGGAGAACUAAGAGAACAUCUUAAAUCACAGAAGAUACGACCAUUCAAGCAGGACACAGACUAGAAAACUGCAAAUGAGACAAGAUGGCUACUAGAAAUUGUUAAUUUCUACUAGUGAGAUAGACUGAGAGUAUUCAAAUUGAUUUUAAAAUUUGGUAUAUUCAGCAUUAUAACUGAAUAUAAGUUCAUAUACACCUAAGAAAAAUGUAGAAAUAGAAAUCAAAAGUUGGCUCAAUGCACUACAGAUGAACAUCUUACCAAUAUCGCUGUUCAAAUCCCGUCACUAUUCAUAUGAGAAUUGCAUGUUUUUCCCCCAGAUACUCAUCAACAGUAGAAAAGAAUCCCCUGUGCAAUAACCUUGAUUUAAAGUUAUUGCAAAUAAAAAUAAAUCAAAGUCAUACUCAGUUUGGUAAUAGAAUCGAGAUACAAGUAAUGUAUCGGAGAGCUGAUAUUAUGAAUCGUAAAUCGUUUCGUAUAGUGAAUUGUAAGAUUCAUAAUCAUUAGAAAAUUUAAUAUAUACUUAAAUAUAUAAGAUAUGUAUACAUGCAAGAUACAAUAAAUUAUAUAUAUACCACACAAUUUCACCAAAACAACCUCUAUGGUGCAUACAUGUUAUUAAACAAAUUAUGUCUCUCUUUUUUUAUUUACUCAAUUUUUAAAAUCCACACUGAUUCGCACAAUACGGAAUCGUUUCGUUUCGGGAUUUAGCGAUUCUUUGUGCGAAUCGCACGAUACAGCUAAGAUUCAAGAAUAAAAAAAUUCUUCACACGAUUCGUAUCGUGGGAGGGCGAAACCGUAUCGUUUCAUACGAUAGGUAUCGUGAAUCGUUAGAUACUAACUACUAGCACAUUUGCAUGCAGGAAAUGAAUGGUCAGAUGCAAUCACAAACUUUAUUUACAAACAAUUAGUGUAUCUGUGGUCUUACAAAAGUAAAUUAGAAUCAAACUAACUAUAAAAUAUAUAGAAAAUUUUGGGUUCCAGCAGUGACACAAAAUGCUGGGGUAACAGAUAGAAAUAUAAGCCAAGUGGAUUUCUUAGGGAGAAACAAAGGAAGAAAUGGAAAAAUAUAUAUUAUAUUUCAGGAUUCAAAAUAGUUUUGUUCUGUUUAUACAAACACAUAACAAGAUGAAUAAUUAGAACAAGAUGCAACUGACUUAGUAAAAGUCUGAUAAUCGUACACAAUAUGAUAUACAAAAGGAGACAUCCACAUAGUAAAAAAUAAUUCUAAAAUUUAUCACCCAACUGUUUUCUCUAUUAGCAAAUGAAAGAAUUCAAACAGAACCAGAAUCAACGCUUUCUUCUACCUGAAUAAAAAGAUGAUGCCAUGUGCUUGAGGUUGAAGGUCUAUUCCACAGUUAACAUUUCCAGACAUCUUCUGCUAUAAGAGUCUGCCUACAAUCACAACACAGGACAAUGGAAAUAGGGGAAACCUUCCCUCCCUGUUUAGCAGUACAAUCGAAAAACAAAAAACAAAACAUUAACCUUUAAAUGAAUUUUUCAAGAUUGAAACAAACUCAGGCAAAACUCAGAUUUAUGUUCAGAACAUCAAACUUAAUCUAUUCAUAACCUGCAGCACAUAGCAAGAUUGAGAACUUAUCCUACAUUUAUCAUCACAAUAACACACAAAAUAACAAUAACCCCAAGAGAGUAAAAUUCAAAACCAUGAUGCAAAAUCUUCUCAGAACUAUAUAUAAAUCUUGAAAACUCAAGAAGUAAAUUAAAAUAAAAAUGUUUUUUAUAUUUCCAGGUAUAACCAACUAAGUGUGUAUGACCCAUAGUUCCUUACAACUUAUUGCCAAGGGGCUUAUUUAAAGACAUCCUAAAUUCUUACUAGAUCAAUGAACACAAGGACAACAAGUACACAUUCUCUAUUUUAUCCAAUUAUCCCUUUCCUUCUUUCCUUCUAAUAAAUCAAACAGGAUUGUUGCAGCUGCUG
This 2415-nucleotide long non-coding RNA is filed under the name Phaseolus vulgaris (common bean). Its description in RNAcentral is "long non-coding RNA (PVUL_LNC003292)". The record is from RNAcentral. Lineage: Eukaryota; Viridiplantae; Streptophyta; Magnoliopsida; Fabales; Fabaceae.